This 103-nucleotide small nuclear RNA is filed under the name Cavia porcellus (domestic guinea pig). Lineage: Eukaryota; Metazoa; Chordata; Mammalia; Rodentia; Caviidae. The record is from RNAcentral.
GUGCUCACUUUAGCAGCACAUAUACUGAAACUGGAGCAUUUCAGAGAAGAUUCGCAUAGUCCUUAAUUGAGCAUGACAUGCAAAUUCAUAAAUACAUGCCUUA